AUACGGAGGGUGCAAGCGUUAAUCGGAAUUACUGGGCGUAAAGGGCGCGUAGGCGGAACAUUAAGUCGGGUGUGAAAAGCUCAGGCUCAACCUGAGUCGUGCAUUCGAUACUGGUGUUCUAGAGUUUUGGAGAGGGAAGUGGAAUUUCCGGUGUAGCGGUGAAAUGCGUAGAGAUCGGAAGGAACACCAGUGGCGAAGGCGGCUUCCUGGCCAAAAACUGACGCUGAGGCGCGAAAGCGUGGGUAGCAAACAGGAUUAGAAACCCCAGUAGUCC
This 274-nucleotide ribosomal RNA is filed under the name uncultured bacterium. Its description in RNAcentral is "partial 16S ribosomal RNA". It matches the Rfam family "Bacterial small subunit ribosomal RNA", at positions 523 to 796 of the family's 1533-position model. The record is from RNAcentral.